Molecule: small nuclear RNA, 126 nt
Organism: Magnolia sinica
Lineage: Eukaryota; Viridiplantae; Streptophyta; Magnoliopsida; Magnoliales; Magnoliaceae
Source: RefSeq, a predicted model, not a curated record
GUGUUCGUUGAAAGGAGAGAUGGUUGACAUAUCUCUGGACAGAGACUUGAAUAGCCUCUGGGCUUUAUUGUUACAACACAUACGGUUAAGAUCUCCCACAUGUUGUGGAUCUUACCCAAUUUAUUU